RNAcentral lists this transfer RNA (103 nucleotides) under Sphaerosporella brunnea. Its description in RNAcentral is "tRNA-Pro". It matches the Rfam family "tRNA". Rfam says of the family: Transfer RNA (tRNA) molecules are approximately 80 nucleotides in length. Their secondary structure includes four short double-helical elements and three loops (D, anti-codon, and T loops). Further hydrogen bonds mediate the characteristic L-shaped molecular structure. tRNAs have two regions of fundamental functional importance: the anti-codon, which is responsible for specific mRNA codon recognition, and the 3' end, to which the tRNAs corresponding amino acid is attached (by aminoacyl-tRNA synthetases). tRNAs cope with the degeneracy of the genetic code in two manners: having more than one tRNA (with a specific anti-codon) for a particular amino acid; and 'wobble' base-pairing, i.e. permitting non-standard base-pairing at the 3rd anti-codon position. The record is from RNAcentral. Lineage: Eukaryota; Fungi; Ascomycota; Pezizomycetes; Pezizales; Pyronemataceae.
GGCAGGACGGCCGAGUUGGUUAUGGCGCCAGGUUAGGGUUUGCCUUAAUACUUAAUCUCCUGGUUCGGGAAACCGAGCGUGGGUUCAAGUCCCAUGCCUGUCA